UGAGUCUUCACCCAAAAGACGCUUACGCUAUGCUUGUAGGCGCCGCCCAAGGAUGGGGCCGCGACCGAUCAGGUUGUUGGUGAGGUAAUGGCUCACCAAGCCUUUUACCGGUGCGGGCCGUGAGAGCGGGAGCCCGGAGAUGGGCACUGAGACAAGGGCCCAGGCCCUACGGGGCGCAGCAGUCGCGAAAACUUUGCAAUAAGCGAAAGCUUGACAGGGCUAUCCCGAGUGCCAUCCGCUGAGGAAGGCUUUUACCCAGUCUAGAACGCUGGGGGAAUAAGGAGAGGGCAAGUCUGGUGUCAGCCGCCGCGGUAAUACCAGCUCUCCGAGUGGUGUGGAUGUUUAUUGGGCCUAAAGCAUCCGUAGCUGGCUAGGUUAGUCCCUUGUUAAAUCCACCGAAUUAAUCGUUGGAUUGCGGGGGAUACUGCUUGGCUAGGGGACGAGAGAGGCAGACGGUAUUUCCGGGGUAGGGGUGAAAUCCUAUAAUCCCGGGAAGACCACCAGUGGCGAAGGCUGUCUGCUAGAACGCGCCCGACGGUGAGGGAUGAAAGCUGGGGGAGCGAACCGGAUUAGAUACCCGGGUAGUCCCAGCUGUAAACGAUGCAGGCUAGGUGUUUGGACGGCCACGUGCCGUUCUAGUGCCGCAGGGAAGCUGUUAAGCCUGCCGCCUGGGGAGUACGAUCGCAAGAUUGAAACUUAAAGGAAUUGGCGGGG
Molecule: ribosomal RNA, 714 nt
Filed under: uncultured archaeon
Lineage: Archaea
Description: bacterial SSU rRNA
Rfam family: Archaeal small subunit ribosomal RNA
Source: RNAcentral